Molecule: small nuclear RNA, 95 nt
Filed under: Canis lupus dingo (dingo)
Lineage: Eukaryota; Metazoa; Chordata; Mammalia; Carnivora; Canidae
Source: RNAcentral
GUGCUCACUUUGGCAGCACAUAUACUAAAAUUGGAAGAUACAAUGGUCCCUGUGCAAGGAUGACAUGCAGAGACUAAGCAUAACAGUCUAUGAAA